GGGUCAGUAGGUUGGUCGUGCCACCGGUACGUACUGGUCUCACUGAUUCCUCCUUCCUGAAGAACCGUAGUGCCAUUAAUUUGGUGUUGCGGGGAAACAGGACUGUUACUUUGAAAAAAUUAUAGUGUUUAAAGCAAGCUAACGCUUGAAUACAUUAGCAUGGAAUAAUGAAAUAGGACGAUCGAUCCUAUUUUGUUGGUUUCUAGGAUUGACGUA
This 216-nucleotide ribosomal RNA is filed under the name Glomeromycotina sp. Its description in RNAcentral is "partial small subunit ribosomal RNA". The stretch from base 40 to 216 matches the Rfam family "Eukaryotic small subunit ribosomal RNA", at positions 686 to 864 of the family's 1831-position model. Lineage: Eukaryota; Fungi; Glomeromycota. The record is from RNAcentral.